AGCAGCCGCCUCUCAGCCACGGGCUGCACACUGACCCGACGCGACCUUCGGUCAGGGGCCGCCAGCCUGGGCCACCUAUACAACGACAGCCUGCUCCGGGGCUUCCUGAGGAGGUGCCUGCCCCGCCGAGGUUCAACAGCUUUGGAGAGCAGGACAUCUUUUCCUCUCAGCCUGGCCCUCUGCAAUGGAGGCCAUAAAUAGGCCAGUAGUGGAAGCUACAGAACACGUGAGCAUGGCAGGGGCUGAGCUCCAUUUCAAGAUAUGGGUAAGAGGAGGGAUGCUGUUGCCUUGGAGCUGCCAGGCUGCAUGGCAGACAAGCAGGAUUCCUGCUGCCUCCCAUGGAGACUAUACUGGAACGCAGGAUUGUUGCCAUGGCAGGACUCAGGCGUUCUUAGAUGCUGCCUCAACCCCAACAAGCAGUUUCUCUCCACACUCCCUUCCCAUUGGCUCCAUACACUCUUAAAGCAUCGGUGCACAUGCAGACCACCAUCUGUUUACAAAAUGUUAAUUUAAAAACAAAACACAUAUAUAAGGCCAGGCACGGUGGCUCACGCCUGUAAUCCUAGCACUUUGGGAGGCUGAGGCGGGCAUUUCACCUGACGUCAGGAGUUCAACCAGCCUGGCCAACAUGGUGAAACCCUAUCUCUACAAAAAUACAAAAAUUAGCUGGGCAUGAUGGUGGGUGCCUGUAAUUCCAGCUACUCAAGAGGCUGAGGCGGGAGAAUCACUUGAAUCUGGGAAGCGGAGGUUGCAGCGAGUCGAGAUCGCGCCACUGCACUCCAGCCUGGGUAACAAAGUGAGACUCUGUCUCAAAAUAAAUAAAACUAAAACACAUAUAUGAACUUUAGUUUGUCUUCUUCAGCUAGUGAUUCAUUUGUAACUUAGUGCAAAACUCAGAUUGGAAUGCUUCAAAGUCAAAUGUUUUCCCCUGUAAGGUGGAAGCGAGAGCAGGGUCUAGUUUCAACACACAGUGGAAUAGAAGUGCUGCCUGGCUCUGAU
RNAcentral lists this long non-coding RNA (999 nucleotides) under Homo sapiens (human). RNAcentral describes it as "non-protein coding HORMAD2-AS1:11". Lineage: Eukaryota; Metazoa; Chordata; Mammalia; Primates; Hominidae. The record is from RNAcentral.